CGGGGUGCAGCAGGCGCGAAAACUUUACAAUGCUGGCAACAGCGAUAAGGGGACCUCGAGUGCCAGGAUACAAUCUUGGCUGUCGUGAUGCCUAAAAAGCAUUACAUAGCAAGGGCCGGGCAAGACCGGUGCCAGCCGCCGCGGUAACACCGGCGGCUCGAGUGGUAACCGCUAUUAUUGGGUCUAAAGGGUCUGUAGCCGGCCGGAUAAGUCUCUUGGGAAAUCCAGCAGCUCAACUGUUGGGCUUCCAGGGGAUACUGUUCGGCUCGAGGCCGGGAGAGGUGAGAGGUACUUCAGGGGUAGGGGUGAAAUCUUGUAAUCCUUGAAGGACCACCAGUGGCGAAGGCGUCUCACCAGAACGGUCCUGACGGCAAGGGACGAAAGCUAGGGGCACGAACCGGAUUAGAUACCCGGGUAGUCCUAGCCGUAAACGAUACUCGCUAGGUGUCAGCCACGGUGCGACCGUGGUUGGUGCCGUAGGGAAGCCGUGAAGCGAGCCACCUGGGAAGUACGGCCGCAAGGCUGAAACUUAAAGGAAUUGGCGGGGGAGCAC
This 553-nucleotide ribosomal RNA is filed under the name uncultured archaeon. RNAcentral describes it as "bacterial SSU rRNA". It matches the Rfam family "Archaeal small subunit ribosomal RNA", at positions 326 to 879 of the family's 1478-position model. The record is from RNAcentral.